RNAcentral lists this ribosomal RNA (581 nucleotides) under uncultured Rhizophagus. RNAcentral describes it as "LSU rRNA". It matches the Rfam family "Eukaryotic large subunit ribosomal RNA", at positions 204 to 637 of the family's 3401-position model. The record is from RNAcentral. Lineage: Eukaryota; Fungi; Glomeromycota; Glomeromycetes; Glomerales; Glomeraceae.
CAUGGAGGGUGAGAAUCCCGUCCGGUUGAUCAUUGCGUUUUACGAUACGCUUUCUAAGAGUCAAGUUGUUUGGGAUUGCAGCUUAAAAUGGGAGGUAAAUUUCUCCUAAGGCUAAAUAACGGCGAGAGACCGAUAGCGAACAAGUACCGUGAGGGAAAGAUGAAAAGAACUUUGAAAAGAGAGUUAAACAGUACGUGAAAUUGUUGAAAGGGAAACGAUUGAAGCCAGUCGUACCUUCGGGUAAUCAGCCUUUCGGGUGCGAUUCUGUGGAGUGUGAGGAGCUUAAACACCUUCAUGUUUUGCAUAUUCGUACUCUUGGGUGUACUUGCCCGUGUGGUUGGUUAACAUCAAUUUUGGUGGUCAUAAAAUGACUGGAGGAAUGUAGCUUCGAUCUUGUAUUGAAGUGUUAUAGCCUUCGGUAGAUGUGAUGAUCGAGAUUGAGGAUUGCAACGGAUACCCUUCGGGGCUACCUGUCUGGUCUCUGAUCGUUGCUCUGGUGCCGAAAGCUUGCUUACGGUUAUCAAAGUCGAUGGUCAAUAGGUUAGAACGGGUUAAAUUCGUUAAGGAUGUUGACGUAAUGG